GGACAGGGCAAAGAAGUGAUUACUAUCUCAGCCUACUAGUUCAUUCACCACAUGAGAAGAUCUAUCACAAACAUUCUUAGCUAGAUAUCUUCCACUUGGGAAGACAGCUAAACUCCGCACUGAACUUAAUACAUUCCGGCAAAGGGACAAUGAAUCUCUCUAUGAUGCAUAGAAAGGUACGAAGAUCUUAAGAGAGAAAGCCCACACCAUGGCAUCCAAAACUAGCUACUUAUUCAGAAUUUUUAUAAUGGGUCGGUACAACAAGAAGCACCAUUGAUUCAGCAGGUGGUGGAGAUUUGAUAGGGAAAACCAAUACUAAAGCUUUUGAUCUCCUAAACAAGGUUGCCUAUCACAACUUUAAGUAGGUCAAUGAAAGAGGAGACGAGAAUAUCAACUCGAGUAAUUGAACUGGAUGCAUUGAGCAUGAUCAACUGACGAAGAGGUUAGAUAGGUUGAGUGCUAAUGUUGUUAGAGCUAGUAACUUAGUCAGUUAUCAGUGUGGGGGAGGACAUCAAAGUUCAAAAACAAUUAUUACAAUUAUCCUACUUCCAAGCAAUUAAACUAUGUAAACAACAAUGGGAAUUUCAACGAGAGAUCUGGAGGGAACCCUUACUCUAAUACUUAUAAUACUGGAUGGAAUAAUCACCCAAACUUCUCAUAGUCCAACCCGCAAAAUCAGCCUAUCAACCAACAGUAAGGGUAGAAACCACCACCACUGCGAUUUUAGCAAAGAUAUCCGAAUCCAUCCCAUUACUACCUCCUCCUCAGCCUCAACCUCAACCUCAAAAGCAAAAAUCAUCCAUGGAAGCUAUGGCAGAGAACUUUUUUAUAGCACAACAACAGCAAAAUGAGAUGA
Molecule: unclassified non-coding RNA, 856 nt
Filed under: Hevea brasiliensis (rubber tree)
Lineage: Eukaryota; Viridiplantae; Streptophyta; Magnoliopsida; Malpighiales; Euphorbiaceae
Source: RNAcentral